UGGGGAAUAUUGGACAAUGGGCGCAAGCCUGAUCCAGCGACGCCGCGUGUGUGAAGAAGGCCUGCGGGUUGUAAAGCACUUUCGAUGGGAACGAAAUGUGCCGGGUUAAUACCCCGGUAAGCUGACGUUACUCAAUGAAGAAGCACCGGCUAACUCUGUGCCAGCAGCCGCGGUAAUACAGAGGGUGCGAGCGUUAAUCGGAAUUACUGGGCGUAAAGCGCACGUAGGUGGCGACGUAAGUCGGGUGUGAAAGCCCCGGGCUCAACCUGGGAAUUGCAUUCGAGACUGCAUUGCUGGAGUACGGAAGAGGAGGGCGGAAUUCCCGGUGUAGCGGUGAAAUGCGUAGAUAUCGGGAGGAACAUCAGUGGCGAAGGCGGGUUGCUGGGCUGAUACUGACGCUGAGGCGCGAAAGCUAGGGUAGCAAACGGGAUUAGAUACCCCUGUAAUCCCUGAGCGGGCUGGCAAGGCGCAU
This 472-nucleotide ribosomal RNA is filed under the name uncultured bacterium. RNAcentral describes it as "bacterial SSU rRNA". It matches the Rfam family "Bacterial small subunit ribosomal RNA", at positions 355 to 825 of the family's 1533-position model. The record is from RNAcentral.